RNAcentral lists this non-coding RNA (24 nucleotides) under Arabidopsis thaliana (thale cress). Lineage: Eukaryota; Viridiplantae; Streptophyta; Magnoliopsida; Brassicales; Brassicaceae. The record is from RNAcentral.
CUCGAGGUGGUAUCUGUAACUACA